Molecule: ribosomal RNA, 445 nt
Filed under: uncultured bacterium
Lineage: Bacteria
Description: partial 16S ribosomal RNA
Rfam family: Bacterial small subunit ribosomal RNA
Source: RNAcentral
GUGAGGAAUAUUGCGCAAUGGAGGCAACUCUGACGCAGCCAUGCCGCGUGCAGGAAGAAGGCGCUACGCGUUGUAAACUGCUUUUAACCGGGAAGAAACCCCAGGACGUGUCCUGGGUUGACGGUACCGGAGGAAUAAGCACCGGCUAACUUCGUGCCAGCAGCCGCGGUAAUACGAAGGGUGCAAGCGUUAUCCGGAUUCAUUGGGUUUAAAGGGUGCGUAGGCGGAGCGUUAAGUCAGUGGUGAAAUCCUGCAGCUUAACUGUAGACUUGCCAUUGAUACUGGAGCUCUUGAGUGCGCUUGAAGUGGGCGGAAUGUGCCGUGUAGCGGUGAAAUGCUUAGAUAUGGCACAGAACACCAAUUGCGAAGGCAGCUCACUAAGGCGAUACUGACGCUGAGGCACGAAAGCGUGGGGAUCGAACAGGAUUAGAUACCCCUGUAGUCC